CGAAAUUCGACGUUAGUCUAACGCGAGCCACGCCGAGAUUCGGACAAUAUGAGUAUGUCUAAGGUGUCGAGCAAGAUUUUUCCGUCUAUUAACGUUCUGUCACGUUAUUGACAUCGUUUAAUCCUCUUUCUCUUCCUCUCCUCUCUCUCUCUCUCUCUCUCUCUCUCUAUGAAUAUUCGAUAACCUCGCGGAUAAUCCACUCUUUGUGAGAUGUCAUGCAUGGAAAGUUAACGUAUAGUGUAAAUUAGCCAAUGUUACUUAAGUUUAAUACAUGUGAGAUGUAAAAAGCGCGUAACUCUUAAUGAGCCCAGUGUGUAUACGAGAGAGAGAGAGAGAGAAUCAUCCAGGGCGAUACUAGCGAAUUGCGUGGUGAAUAUCAUGAACUACGAACUCUUGGAGGAGCGAAGGCGUCACGAUAGAAGAGUACAAGUUGGAACGACGACGAGGUGGAAUCUAGAAUCGUGCGUACCGUGUCUUUUCUUCUUGACUUUGCUGUUAUUCUCAUCGAUUGUCGUAUUAUCGUCAUCCUCGCUGUCAACGUCGGUGUCAUCAUCGCGGUACACGUGAAAGAAGAGGUGCGUCAAGCGGCGAGGUGCGAAGUGCGCCGCGGGCAAGAAGCGCGUGUCGUGUUUGCGUUGAAAAAAGAUAGACGAGGGGUGGAAGUAAAAGUGGUGGAGGGAAAGGUGGAGGUGGAGGUGGAGGUGGAUGAUGAGUGCCAGAGAAAUCAUCCUCCUUGGCGGCUCCCCUUGGGGCUUCCGAAUGCACGGAGGACGUGACUUGCACCAACCCUUACGAAUCUCUAGAGUAAAUCCGGGUAGCAAGGCAGCUCAGCAAGGAGCCAGAGAGGGUGACUUGAUUAGUAGCAUAAACGACAAAAGCACUCGGGAACUGACGAAUAGCGAGGCUCAUGCUUUGCUACGUAAUGCCGGGGAUCAUUUGAAGCUGGGUUUGAAUCAAGAGAAUAUCGGCUCACCGAAAAGAAGAAUUUAUAAGAGC
Molecule: long non-coding RNA, 996 nt
Filed under: Polistes fuscatus (common paper wasp)
Lineage: Eukaryota; Metazoa; Arthropoda; Insecta; Hymenoptera; Vespidae
Description: uncharacterized LOC122519366
Source: RNAcentral